RNAcentral lists this ribosomal RNA (448 nucleotides) under uncultured bacterium. Its description in RNAcentral is "bacterial SSU rRNA". It matches the Rfam family "Bacterial small subunit ribosomal RNA", at positions 64 to 524 of the family's 1533-position model. The record is from RNAcentral.
GAACGAUGUCAUCCGGUGGCACACCGGAGAAGACUAUUGGCGAACGGGUGAGUACACGUGAUCAACCUGCCCCGAAGAUCGGGAUAUCAGCGGGACAACCGCUGCUAAUACUGGAUACCCCCAUCAGGCCACAUGGUCCGAUGAGGAAAUGGAUUCCGCUUCGGGAGGGGCUCGCGGCCUAUCAGCUUGUUGGUGGGGUAACGGCCUACCAAGGCGACGACGGGUAUCUGGUCUGAGAGGACGAUCAGCCUCACUGGGACUGAGACACGGUCCAUACUCCUACGGGAGGCAGCAGUGGGGAAUCUUGCGCAAUGGGCGAAAGCCUGACGCAGCAACGCCGCGUGAGGGAUGAAGGCCUUCGGGUUGUAAACCUCUUUCGAGCAGGGACGAUAAUGACUGUACCUGCAUAAGAAGCUCCGGCCAACUACGUGCCAUCAGCCGCGGUAAU